This 482-nucleotide ribosomal RNA is filed under the name uncultured bacterium. Its description in RNAcentral is "bacterial SSU rRNA". It matches the Rfam family "Bacterial small subunit ribosomal RNA", at positions 30 to 506 of the family's 1533-position model. The record is from RNAcentral.
UUGAACGCUGGCGGCAUGCUUUACACAUGCAAGUCGAACGGUAACAGGGAGCUUGCUCCGCUGACGAGUGGCGAACGGGUGAGUAAUGCAUCGGAACGUGCCCGAUCGUGGGGGAUAACGCAGCGAAAGCUGCGCUAAUACCGCAUACGAUCUGAGGAUGAAAGCGGGGGACCGUAAGGCCUCGCGCGAUCGGAGCGGCCGAUGUCAGAUUAGGUAGUUGGUGGGGUAAAGGCUCACCAAGCCGACGAUCUGUAGCUGGUCUGAGAGGACGACCAGCCACACUGGGACUGAGACACGGCCCAGACUCCUACGGGAGGCAGCAGUGGGGAAUUUUGGACAAUGGGCGCAAGCCUGAUCCAGCAAUGCCGCGUGCAGGAAGAAGGCCUUCGGGUUGUAAACUGCUUUUGUACGGAGCGAAAAGGCUCUCUCUAAUACAGGGGGCUCAUGACGGUACCGUAAGAAUAAGCACCGGCUAACUACGU